RNAcentral lists this long non-coding RNA (334 nucleotides) under Mytilus galloprovincialis (Mediterranean mussel). The record is from RNAcentral. Lineage: Eukaryota; Metazoa; Mollusca; Bivalvia; Mytilida; Mytilidae.
CCCCCGCCGCAAGUGGAUAAUAUUAAUAGUGUAAAAAUAUGCAAGUGUUCGGUAAACAGGAAGUUGUCGAGUGAUGAAUCUGAAAACUCAUCACACGGUAUAGCUGACGUAUAUAAAUCCUGAAACCAAAUUUCAGAAAUCCUUGUAUUGUAGUUCCUGAGAAAAAUGUGACGAAAAUUUUCAACUUGGCUAUCAUGUGUAAAAUCAUACAAGUGUUCGGUAAACAGGAAGUUGUCGAGUGAACAAUCUGAAAACGCAUCACACGGUAUAGCUGACUUAGAUCAACCCUGAGACCAAAUUUCAGAAAUCCUUGUAUUGUAGUUCCUUACAAAAA